This 586-nucleotide ribosomal RNA is filed under the name uncultured bacterium. RNAcentral's name for it is "partial 16S ribosomal RNA". It matches the Rfam family "Bacterial small subunit ribosomal RNA", at positions 355 to 1375 of the family's 1533-position model. The record is from RNAcentral.
UGGGGAAUUUUGGACAAUGGGCGAAAGCCUGAUCCAGCAAUGCCGCGUGUGUGAAGAAGGCCUUCGGGUUGUAAAGCACUUUUGUCCGGAAAGAAAUCCUUGGCUCUAAUACAGUCGGGGGAUGACGGUACCGGAAGAAUAAGCACCGGCUAACUACGUGCCAGCAGCCGCGGUAAUACGUAGGGUGCAAGCGUUAAUCGGAAUUACUGGGCGUAAAGCGUGCGCAGGCGGUUUGCUAAGACCGAUGUGAAAUCCCCGGGCUCAACCUGGGAACUGCAUUGGUGACUGGCAGGCUAGAGUAUGGCAGAGGGGGGUAGAAUUCCACGUGUAGCAGUGAAAUGCGUAGAGAUGUGGAGGAAUACCGAUGGCGAAGGCAGCCCCCUGGGCCAAUACUGACGCUCAUGCACGAAAAGCGUGGGGGAGCAAACAGGAUUAGAUACCCUGGUAGUCCACGCCCUAAACGAUGUCAACUAGUUGUUGGGGAUUCAUUCCUUAGUAACGUAGCUAACGCGUGAAGUUGACCGCCUGGGGAGUACGGUCGCAAGAUUAAAACUUAAAUGAAUUGACGGGGUCAUAGCUGUUUCCU